RNAcentral lists this ribosomal RNA (253 nucleotides) under uncultured bacterium. RNAcentral describes it as "partial 16S ribosomal RNA". It matches the Rfam family "Bacterial small subunit ribosomal RNA", at positions 524 to 776 of the family's 1533-position model. The record is from RNAcentral.
UACGUAGGGUGCAGGCGUUAUCCGGAAUUAUUGGGCGUAAAGAGCUCGUAGGCGGUUUGUCGCGUCUGCUGUGAAAACCUGGGGCUUAACCCCGGGCCUGCAGUGGGUACGGGCAGACUGGAGUGCGGUAGGGGAGAAUGGAAUCCCUGGUGUAGCGGUGGAAUGCGCAGAUAUCAGGAAGAACACCCGUGGCGAAAGCGGCUCUCUGGAACGGUACUGACGCUGAGACGCGAAAGCGUGGGGAGCGAACAGG